Long non-coding RNA from Leptidea sinapis, 473 nucleotides. RefSeq lists it as uncharacterized. The record is from RefSeq and is a predicted model, not a curated record. The transcript has 2 exons. NCBI's taxonomy places the organism in Eukaryota, Metazoa, Arthropoda, Insecta, Lepidoptera, Pieridae.
UAAAAGGCGGAUUCUCAAAACAUUCAAGCAUUAUAUUUGUGAACUUCCAGUUAAUCGUCAGAUAUAAAAACCAUUCGCAAAAUACAAAAUGAUUAAAUAUAUUUUCAUUGCAUUUCUCAUUACAAUGGUUGUGGAAAAUAGUUUACAACAAGAGUGGGAAAGUUCAGAUAUGAAACAAGAAGAUAUACCACCAGAACAAAUGGAUAAAGCUUCAGAUAUGAAACAAGAAGAUAUACCACCAGAACAAAUGGAUAAAGGUUCAGAUAUGAAACAAGAAGAUAUACCACCAGAACAAAUGGAUAAAGGUUACCGAGCCAAAUGAAAGAUGAAGUUCCAAAUUCAGGCAAGAGAGGCAGGAAAUAUGGACUAUAGGAAUAGCCAUUGCGCUGCUUCUAUUGCACUACUUAAUGUAAUUUAUGUAUUUUUCGCCACUAUAUAAAGCUUCGGCAAAUAAAUAGUUUGAAAAUCUUGAA